This 378-nucleotide ribosomal RNA is filed under the name uncultured bacterium. Its description in RNAcentral is "bacterial SSU rRNA". It matches the Rfam family "Bacterial small subunit ribosomal RNA", at positions 29 to 420 of the family's 1533-position model. The record is from RNAcentral.
AAUCAACGCUGGCGGCGCGCUUAACACAUGCAAGUCGAACGGGAAAGUGGAGCAAUCCAUGAGUACAGUGGCGUACGGGUGAGUAACACGUGGGUAAUCUGCCUUCUGGUGGGGAUAACUCUGGGAACCGGAGCUAAUACCGCAUAAGCUCGGAAGAGGAAAGCAGGAAACUGCGCCGGAAGAGGAGCCCGCGGCCGAUUAGCUGGCUGGUGAGGUAAUGGCNCACCAGGGCGAAGAUCGGUAGCCGGCCUGAGAGGGCACACGGCCACACUGGCACUGAAACACGGGCCAGACUCCUACGGGAGGCAGCAGUGGGGAAUCUUGCACAAUGGGGGCAACCCUGAUGCAGCGACGCCGCGUGAGCGAUGAAGCCCGUUC